This 460-nucleotide ribosomal RNA is filed under the name uncultured bacterium. RNAcentral describes it as "partial 16S ribosomal RNA". It matches the Rfam family "Bacterial small subunit ribosomal RNA", at positions 338 to 795 of the family's 1533-position model. The record is from RNAcentral.
CCUACGGGAGGCUGCAGUGAGGAAUAUUGGUCAAUGGCCGGAAGGCUGAACCAGCCAUGCCGCGUGAAGGUCAGUGCCCUAUGGGCGUUAAACUUCUUUUGUGCGGGAGCAAUAAUGGUCACGUGUGGCCAGACGAGAGUACCGUACGAAUAAGCAUCGGCUAACUCCGUGCCAGCAGCCGCGGUAAUACGGGGGAUGCAAGCGUUAUCCGGAUUUAUUGGGUUUAAAGGGUGCGUAGGCUGUGAGGUAAGUCAGCGGUGAAAUGCCCCCGCGCAACGGGGUGAAGUGCCAUUGAUACUGCCUUGCUGGAAUGCGGAUGCCGUGGGAGGAAUGUGUGGUGUAGCGGUGAAAGGCAUAGAUAUCACACAGAACACCGAUUGCGAAGGCAUCUCACGAAGCCGCGAUUGACGCUGAUGCACGAAAGCGUGGGUAUCAAACAGGAUUAGAUACCCCUGUAGAC